Molecule: ribosomal RNA, 374 nt
Filed under: uncultured organism
Description: partial 16S ribosomal RNA
Rfam family: Bacterial small subunit ribosomal RNA
Source: RNAcentral
GUAGGUGGCAAGCGUUAUCCGGAAUUAUUGGGGCGUAAAGCGCGCGUAGGCGGUUUUUUAAGUCUGAUGUGAAAGCCCACGGGCUCAACCUUGGGAGGGUCAUUGGAAACUGGAAAACUUGAGUGCAGAAGAGGAAAGUGGAAUUCCAUGUGUAGCGGUGAAAUGCGCAGAGAUAUGGAGGAACACCAGUGGCGAAGGCGACUUUCUGGUCUGUAACUGACGCUGAUGUGCGAAAGCGUGGGGAUCAAACAGGAUUAGAUACCCUGGUAGUCCACGCCGUAAACGAUGAGUGCUAAGUGUUAGGGGGUUUCCGCCCCUUAGUGCUGCAGCUAACGCAUUAAGCACUCCGCCUGGGGAGUACGACCGCAAGGUUG